Molecule: long non-coding RNA, 818 nt
Organism: Amphimedon queenslandica
Lineage: Eukaryota; Metazoa; Porifera; Demospongiae; Haplosclerida; Niphatidae
Exons: 4
Source: RefSeq, a predicted model, not a curated record
GUCAAGUGUCUCUACAAUGAGUUCACCAUUGCUACUUCCUACUGGUUGGGCUUUGUUCACAGCAGAUGAUUGUUCUACAACUUGAAUGAAGUCAUCUAAUGAGUCCACCUCUGCUUUACGGAAUUUUUGCUUUAAUAGUCCGAAGCACCAGUCAGGAGAAAAUUUUGUGUGUCCAACUGGCAGAAAAGAUAUUGAAAUGGACGCAUUGAGUCCUGUCAUGACUCUCCAUAAGAGUUGUCAGCAUGGAAAUGGAUACUGACUGAGUUGAGGCCAUGAUUCUUCAAAUAAAAAUGUACCAUGCUUAUGACAGGAUUUGCCCCUUUACCAGUGUCGAAUGAUUCAUCGAUCAAGAAAUUAACCUGCUGAGGGAUAGCUUCACAGCACACACCAAAUAUGCCACAUUUCCUGGGAGUAAGAAAAUAAAUUGGACCUGCUUGUAGUGGACUUGAAGGAUAGUGAACCUUUAAAAAAGUAUUCUUCCAGGAAGACUGAUUCCAUGGACUUCAGCGUAAUUUCUGAUGAAAGCAACAACCCGGAGAAUAUCAUUAUAAGUCAAAGCAUGGUUUGGUGUCUUUCCAGCAUUUCCAUGAACUCUAAUAAAGUUAAGUACAUAACAUUGAAUUUGUCUUCCUUCCUCAUGUCAUCACCAGAGUGAGUAGUUGAAGUAGCUGGAGCAUCAGGCAUCGCUGAUUCUAAAUCAAGAUCUGAUACUUGUAGCUCCACAGCCACCUCAGGAUCAAACAGUGGUGGAUUAAUAUCUUCAUCACAAUCUUUUGUCUCUUUCUCUUCUUCUUUCCCUUCCUCUACCUCUUCUUCUU